Molecule: ribosomal RNA, 483 nt
Filed under: uncultured bacterium
Lineage: Bacteria
Description: partial 16S ribosomal RNA
Rfam family: Bacterial small subunit ribosomal RNA
Source: RNAcentral
GACGAACGCUGGCGGCGUGCUUAACACAUGCAAGUCGAACGCUGAAGCUCAGCUUUUGUUGGGUGGAUGAGUGGCGAACGGGUGAGUAACACGUGAGUAACCUGCCUCCUUCUUUGGGAUAACGCCCGGAAACGGGUGCUAAUACUGGAUAUUCACUGGUCUUCGCAUGGGGGUUGGUGGAAAGGGUUUUUCUGGUGGGGGAUGGGCUCGCGGCCUAUUAGCUUGUUGGUGGGGUGAUGGCCUACCAAGGCUUUGACGGGUAGCCGGCCUGAGAGGGUGACCGGUCACAUUGGGACUGAGAUACGGCCCAGACUCCUACGGGAGGCAGCAGUGGGGAAUAUUGCACAAUGGGCGCAAGCCUGAUGCAGCGACGCCGCGUGAGGGAUGGAGGCCUUCGGGUUGUGAACCUCUUUCGCCCAUGGUCAAGCCGCAACAAUGGUUGUGGUGAGGGUAGUGGGUAAAGAAGCGCCGGCUAACUACGUG